AUGGUGCUGGUCUCACAGCAGAAUGUGUAUUUCUACUGGUGCGACAUCUUGGUUUUUAUGUGAAUAGAGAAGCCAGGUGUAUUUGUUAGCAGACACGAAAAGGUUCGUACGGAGGAAACGUUUCUAAAGAGUAUGAAAUGGUACUUCUCUAUGAAAUGCUGUUAUAGAACAAUUCAAAAUUGCUUCUUCUGAGGCAGGAGACGAGGGCAUGGCAACAUGGCUGUGGCAACUGGGCUCGACCUGCCAGCUGCAGAGACUUGUUAACCUUGGAUGCAGAGCAGCAGCCCUGAGCCAGCACCUGUUCUUCGAGCACGAGAUUAAGUGGGACGGCCUGGGACCAGCAUCAGAAAGAAGACAGAAAAGACAGCAGCCCUGCCAUCUGCCGCUGCCCUCUUGUUCCGAGGGCAGCCUGUCCUUGAAGUGCCUUUUUCUCCUUGAACACUUCUUUUUUUUGCUCUUACACAUUCACAAAUUGUUCUGACCAAUUCGCUGAACAGAACAAUAAGAGCCUGAAAAGCUCCUCCAGUCACUUCGUUUGGCGAAGCCAGCAAGAAGGUAACACAGGGAGCCAGGAGAGCAAGAGGCCAAUGCAGGAGGUGAUGGUUCCUUGGAUUGUACAAGCCCUUCACAGUAAAGAUGCCAAAUGCCUCCUUCCCAGUGUCAGUAAAUCUAGAGCAUUUACAGUUCAACUAUGGCAAGAAGCAGGUCUCCUUCCCGCCACCCAGGGCUGUCCUUCCUCUUCGAGCUGGUACCUGACUGAGAAGACGCGGUCGAGAUAUGAUCCCUCGCAGAUCGAUGUAAACGGGGGAGGAGAGCCCGCUCUUCAGUACGAAAUCCCCAAACUUGAAAGCCUGCACUUCGUACAGGGCCGUCACCAGAUGUCCUAAAGUAGCGCCCACUGCCGCCAUGCUUGAACGCUCCCAGUCUGGACCAGCGCGCCCGCCGGCGGCCGUGUGACAUCACCGGAGGUCCCGCCCCCUUCCACCGCCCCUUCCGGCCGGGACGAGGUCCAGGGGCCGCCUGGGGGCUCAGGGCUAAAGCCCGGACACCUUGGCUGGCUCUGGUCAUGAGGCUGGCUCUGGUGAUGAGGCUGGCUCUAGCAGGAGAGUUUGUGUAGACUCUGCCCAGUUUUUCUAGCUCAGUGUCCCCUCGAUGAUUCUUAGUUAUCGCUAUUCCUUGACAUCACGCGCCAGUUAUUAGCCCGUUACCCUCUCCCAAGGCUUCGGGAAGACGUCGGAUGUUAACUUCCCAGCAGCUAUUGCUUACAGCUGGGAGCAGCCUGAAGGACAACUCCAGCAUUACAAUUACUUUUAAAAAAAUGUUUUUCAUCACAUUCAUGUGAUUUCGGUGCAGGCUUCCUGCUGCAGUCUGUGCACCACUGUCCUGGAUGCUGUCAUAGCAAUUCUGAAUGGCUCCAAGGGAAGCUGUUUAUCCCAGUCAGCCACGGUGGUCAGAAGAGCAUUUGCCAAGCCGUACUUCAGAGGAAGGGCGAGACCCCGCUCAGCAUGACAUAGGUCAGAACCCCGAUGCUCCAGAUAUCUGUGCCCAGGGAGACGGGGAUGCCUUGGAUCACUUCUGGGGCAGCGAACUCGGGAUUCCCCAGCAGGUGGUGGAUGUGGAAGUGGCCUGAGAUCUGGACAGCAUCUUCCAAGUCAAUGAGCUUCACUCGAGGCACUGGAAUCCGAAGGAAAUCUGGAAUAAGUGAAAUGUUUUGAAGAGCAAGUUCCACCCUAGAAGAAUUCCUUGGGCAGUAGACUGGGGUGCUGCUGUGACAGAGGAUGGACGCACAAACCCCUCUCAACUCCACAUUUCAUUUCACCUCCACAUCUGUCAACCAGCCCAUUGUAGAUAAGUUCUCCCUAAACUCCUGCCCAACCUGAGUCCACGAGAGAAAGAAAAUGAACACUGGAGUGAGAAGUGAGUGGAAAUUUAGUUAGGUGAGAGGAAUGAGUUCUGGUGCUGUACUGCACAGUAGGGUGGCUGUAUAUUUCAAAAUAGCUAGAAGAGACCAUGUUCAGUGUUCCCACCACGAAGAAAUGAUAAAUGUUCAAGGUAAUGGAUAUGCUAGUUACCUUGAUUUGAUCAUUAUGCAAUGGUAUACAUGUAUUGAAACAUCACGCUGUAUCCUGUAAAUAUACCAUUAUAUGUCAAUCAAAAAUAAAAU
Heterocephalus glaber (naked mole-rat) is the source of this 2164-nucleotide non-coding RNA. NCBI's taxonomy places the organism in Eukaryota, Metazoa, Chordata, Mammalia, Rodentia, Bathyergidae. The record is from RefSeq and is a predicted model, not a curated record.